GAACCAAACCAGCUCAGGAGGGAUAUGGUUCCCUUUUCUAAGCAGAGAGGAGAGCUCCAUACAUUUGGAUUUUCUAUCCUACAAGUGACAACGCAGUUUCUAGAGGGGCGAAGGGAGGCCCUUGCUGGCGCCAGAAGCUUCAUUGGCCCUGUCAGCUCGGUGCUCUGUGUUGCUGAGAGGAGGUCAUGAGACUGUCCUCUUGCCGCAGUAACCUGCUGAGCUGAGCAUUCUUCAGUGCUCUUUUAUUUGCAGUUCGGGUGGCAGGUUCACAACCCACAAUCAUUUUAGAUUAGAGCUCUCGUCUCUAUUCUCCAUUUUUGUAUUUAGUGAAGAGGUUUAGGUAAUAAUCUAAAAAUAUUGUUCUUAGGUAUGUUAAUGCAUGCAAAUAUUGCUACAUUGUUGUGGAUAGAUGUUAUGGGAUGUAAGCAUAGCAACUGGAAGAUAGCCAAAAGUCAACAGGGCAAAGCUUUUUUAUGAAGCUGAUAGCUGAACAAACUAUAUGCCCAUAGGGUGGAAAUGGCAAGUGUAAUAAUGGCAAAUACAGUCCUCUCUAACAAAGAUAUUUUAGGUCAGGGAGGAGGAAUCUCUGAAGUUAGGUCAUAUACACUACACAAGUAGCUCUCCACCCAACCAGCAAGCAUCUUUUGUAGUGACCAGAGGAGGAAAAACCACUAUUUAAUAUGGCAAGAAGGAGUGAUGCAAACGUGUUUGGGAAGCCUAGACAAUUGCCAAGGAGAUGGGGAAAGAAAGGUCAGAUACUUUUGCCUUUUUACCCAAAUCUUUUUUGUGUCUGAGAUUUUGCCCAAAUAAUGCUACAAGGGUCACUCAAGAUGUUCCGUAGAUUCUUGGAAUAAUCACGGGUGCCCAAUUCCCAGCAUACACAGUCAUGUAGUAAAAUCAUGUCCCUUAUAUAAAAUGGCAAAAUCAAGACUAGGGCUGGUAAGAGCUGCAGUCCAGUUUCCUUUGGAAGUUAUAUGAUUCCCUACCUCUAACUAUAGGAUCUAACUAACACCAUAAGCUUACAGUACAAUAGUUAAACACCAUCCAAAUAGAUGCAUAAGGAUGGUAACACCAUAAAACAGACCUGUGUCCAUAUCCCCACCAUGGAAACCCACUGAGUAGCCUUCAGCAAGUCAUAUUCUCGCAGCCCUAAAUGACGGGUAAAGGGGCUCUCUCCGAAUAAAUGUUGCCAAGAGAACCCUGUAAGAGGAUCACCUUAGGGCUACUAUUAGUUGAAAAAACUUGAAGAUACACAACAACGUCAAAGACAACACCACCACCCUAAAUUAUGGUGCUGGUCUGUAUGAGGAGGAAGAUAUAAGGAAAGGAACCAACUUUGCCUUUUGUUGUUCCAAAACAGGAGGAAGUAGGAGGCAAAAUAGCAGGUAUCUACACUAACUAUCUGUUGAGAAAGCCAUCUCAACCUACUUUAUAUGUAAACAGCUGGUGAUAAAUAAACAGCUGGUGAUGUUAUAAUGAUCUCAUUAGUGACUAAAGUUUCCUAUCAAGCUAUAGAUCAAAAAGGAAGUGAAGAAACACUUCUGGUGAGUUAGAGUUGUGAGGUAACUGUGUCCCAUUAAUACAUUACCAAUUUCAGAAUCACAAAGCAUUGUGGAACUAAGGACUUUAGAAUCUCUCUUACACUUCAGCAUUUUACUGUAUACAAACCAAUCUCUUAACUGCUAGGAAAGUCAGAUGACAUACCCAUUUGAAAGAGGUUUGCUUGAAAAAAAUAUUUUCCAAAGGAAUAUUUACAUUAACCUGUUUUGGCAAAAUAAAUGAAAUGCCGACGACACAAACACGAACACACACAAAUGUGGACUCUUGAUAGCUUAAAGGCUGACAAACAACACAAGCAAAACAUGGAUGGCUCAGUUCGUAUUCAGUUGAGCAUUCAGCUUUUGGAACUAACUCUCUGAUCUUGGCACCAACAAAAUGCCUGCCAUAGAAGAGGCCACUGAUCUAAUUUUGUGAAGGGUGUUGAAAACAGCUCCAGACCAACAAGAAAUUAUCCAUUGCUUUUCUACCAGGGCUACAUGACAAAAAUGAAACAGGGGGACAAGACUGCUAACAAUGAUCCCAGGAAUUCCCAGAAAUAAGACAUUCCAGUCCUGCCUGAUUUGUGCUUUUUCUAACUUAUCUGUUGCUCCUUAUUAAAAAUUUGAGGAAGGUGGUUAGAAGAACAUAAUGAACAGAUCAUGGCAUCUUCUGGGGCCUCUGUAAACAUUAGUAGUGUCUUGUACAGACAGAACAUAAACGCCAUAAACGCCUCCUUGGAUGUAUCUCAUCCUCACAUUGGAAUAUUUGCCUCUUGUUGUGGGCCUUCAAGUUAUUUCUAAUUUAUGAUGAUCCUAAAGUGAUGCUGUCACAGGUUUUUCUUGGUACAGUUUUUUAAUAAAGGGUUUGUCUUUCUGCC
Molecule: long non-coding RNA, 2416 nt
Organism: Anolis carolinensis (green anole)
Lineage: Eukaryota; Metazoa; Chordata; Lepidosauria; Squamata; Anolidae
Exons: 2
Source: RefSeq, a predicted model, not a curated record